This 219-nucleotide long non-coding RNA is filed under the name Elaeis guineensis (African oil palm). RNAcentral's name for it is "long non-coding RNA (EGUI_LNC007441)". The record is from RNAcentral. Lineage: Eukaryota; Viridiplantae; Streptophyta; Magnoliopsida; Arecales; Arecaceae.
AGCUCUGUUUUGGCUUUUUCUUUGAAUUUGGGAAAAUAAAAGUCAUGACAGGGACUGAGUGCUGUUAUGGUCACCAACUGGUAAGGAAAUCGAGAGUUCAGAUUUUAGAAUGUCGCCUCUCAUCUUUCACCCAUUACGUCUUGUACUUGGAUGGUUAAAAAUAGUUCAAAUGACAGGCUUUAUAAAGAAAAGAUGGUAGGGGAGGUGAAAUUAUAGGGG